Molecule: small RNA, 371 nt
Filed under: Histoplasma ohiense
Lineage: Eukaryota; Fungi; Ascomycota; Eurotiomycetes; Onygenales; Ajellomycetaceae
Description: hypothetical lncRNA
Source: RNAcentral
AGCUGAAAGAUAUCCAACGCGUAGCCAACGACAGAAUUACCCCACCACCCCUUGUCCGUCACGAGCUGGGGAAAUAAGUGAAAAACAUAUUGAGCCGAAGGACUCAAGAACAAUACCGCCCCAUGGGAAAAUCUGGAAGGGGGAAGAAGAGAAGCGCCAACGCAUCGCUCAGGUGGCUGUGUAUGCUGACCUCGAUGAGGGCAGAUACGGACGCGGGGGAGAGGGUUUUCAAUAUCAUAUCAUGCUGCACGGGAGGUUGAGGAAGCACGACAAUCCACAAAAACAAAAGGGUCGGAAGGCCUGGUCCUGGUCCUGGUGCUGGUGCUGGCGCUGGCGCUGGCUCUGGCUGGCUGCCCCGCACUCCGCAGGCA